RNA transcript from Lolium perenne, 1408 nucleotides. It is a transcript of the gene named E3 ubiquitin-protein ligase RING1, with no coding region annotated. Lineage: Eukaryota; Viridiplantae; Streptophyta; Magnoliopsida; Poales; Poaceae. The record is from RefSeq and is a predicted model, not a curated record.
CUUUAAAACCAUCCUCCCCCGCGCCCCAUGCAUCCGACGCAACCUCUCAGCUUCCCAAGAACCAGCGAGCACUCCACCUACACCUAGCUAGCCCAUCCAUCAUCACCGACUCGAAAGGUUUCCGACAAUGAUGCCUGGGUACGGCGGCGGCGGCGGCGGUGGGGUGCGGCACCGGACGUGCCGCAUGUACUGGUGCUACGAGUGCGCCAGGGCGCUCCGCAUCAUCUCCUACCCGUCCACCGACGUCUUCUGCCCGCGCUGCUACGGCCGCUUCCUCCACGAGAUCGACCCGCCGCCGCGCCCCGCGCUCCCGCCGCCGGGCUUCUUCCCCUACCACCUGGCCCCGUCGCACUACGACGGGAACCCGCGAAGCUGGGUCGUCCACGGCACCGGCGUCGGGGGCACGCCCGCGCUGCCAGGACGCGCCUUCCGCCAGCUACCUCCACCGCUAUCCUCAGCGCCGGGGCGGGUCCCUGCACCUGCACCCCCACGCCGACGCGUGCCCUCCCCUCCGCCGCCUGCUCCAGUACCGCGGCGCCCGUCCGCGGCCCCGGCCAUCGACCCGGGGGACUACUUCACGGGCGGCGACCUCAGCAGCCUCGUCGAGGAGCUCACCCAGAACGACCGGCCGGGGCCCGCACCAGCAGCAACAUCGGCCAUCGACUCGCUCCCGACGGUGCGGAUCACCUCCACCCACAUGUCGGACGACGGCGGCUCGCACUCGCAGUGCCCCGUGUGCAAGGAGGACUUCGAGCUCGGGGAGGCCGCGCGGCAGCUGCCGUGCAAGCACGUCUACCACUCCGACUGCAUCGUGCCCUGGCUCCGCCUCCACAACUCCUGCCCCGUCUGCCGCUUCCAGCUGCCCGGCAGCGGCGCCGCCUCCAACGCACGUCGUGGCAGCGGCGGUAGCAAUAACGGCGGCCGUGGUGGAGACAACGGGCAAGCUGGACGGAGGGAGCCGCCGACGAUGGUGAGGUGGGGGCCCUUGUCGUGGAUGUGGCCGCCGCGCGGAACGGAGGACCCGGACGACGGCUGGGAGUACGGCCGGCAUGGGCAUGGCCACGCCCACGGCAGGCCUGACGCGGGCGACGCCGGCGCUUUCUACGCGUGGUGGCGCUCUCUGUUUCUUCUAUAGCAGGAUGCAAGUCACUAUGCCAAGAAAACCUCAACAUUUGGUCAAGUCAUCAGGUAAAGCACGAAGCCCCUGUAAAUAUUAUGCAGAGUUCAACCGCAAUGGUGGAUGUUCUGGACGCACUGGAGUUGCAGAACUGCUACUGUAAUUAGAAGCUGUAGAUGAAAUAGAGGUCACUUUGAUGCAAUCCAUGCAAUACUGGACAUGGUGGAAAAGAACGGCCCAAAAUGUAACUAUGCAACGCUCAAUGUAUGUAGAGUUCUUAUUCUAUAGCUC